GCGGAUGGCCGCCGGCUGCGAGCAAUCAAGGCUGGAGGAAAGUCCGGGCACCGCAGGGCAAGAUGCUGGAUAACGUCCAGGCGCGGUAACGCGACAGAAAGUGCAGCAGAAAGCAAACCGCCCGCAGCAAUGCGAGUAAGGGUGAAACGGCGAGGUAAGAGCUCACCGCACGACUGGUGACAGGAGUGGCAUGGUAAACCUCAUCCGGUGCAAGACCGUGCCAGCUGGAUAUCCGGGUAGGUCGCUUGAGGCGGUCGGUAACGAUUCGUCCAGAGAGAUGGUCAUCGCUCCGAUGGCAACAUUGGAGUACAGAACCCGGCUUAUAAC
RNAcentral lists this RNase P RNA (327 nucleotides) under Fibrobacter succinogenes. Its description in RNAcentral is "Bacterial RNase P class A". It matches the Rfam family "Bacterial RNase P class A". Rfam says of the family: Ribonuclease P (RNase P) is a ubiquitous endoribonuclease, found in archaea, bacteria and eukarya as well as chloroplasts and mitochondria. Its best characterised activity is the generation of mature 5'-ends of tRNAs by cleaving the 5'-leader elements of precursor-tRNAs. Lineage: Bacteria; Pseudomonadati; Fibrobacterota; Fibrobacteria; Fibrobacterales; Fibrobacteraceae. The record is from RNAcentral.